Molecule: ribosomal RNA, 253 nt
Filed under: uncultured bacterium
Lineage: Bacteria
Description: partial 16S ribosomal RNA
Rfam family: Bacterial small subunit ribosomal RNA
Source: RNAcentral
UACAGAGGGGGCAAGCGUUAUUCGGAAUUAUUGGGCGUAAAGCGCGCGCAGGCGGUUUCUUAAGUCUGAUGUGAAAGCCCACGGCUCAACCGUGGAGGGUCAUUGGAAACUGGGGAACUUGAGUGCAGAAGAGAAGAGCGGAAUUCCACGUGUAGCGGUGAAAUGCGUAGAGAUGUGGAGGAACACCAGUGGCGAAGGCGGCUCUUUGGUCUGUAACUGACGCUGAGGCGCGAAAGCGUGGGGAGCAAACAGG